RNAcentral lists this ribosomal RNA (447 nucleotides) under Triticum aestivum (bread wheat). Its description in RNAcentral is "partial small subunit ribosomal RNA". The record is from RNAcentral. Lineage: Eukaryota; Viridiplantae; Streptophyta; Magnoliopsida; Poales; Poaceae.
AUGGGCACGGAAAGCUGUUGCAGCAAUGAACGAGGAGGCGGAGAUGCACAAAGGAGAGGAGGAAAAGCGCGCUCUGGUACUAAUCCAAGCCCGCCGGCGACUCCCCCAUAUGGGUCGGAGCUUUUGGUCUGUUUGCAACUAGAAUUUGAGACACUGGUACAGAGUACGUGUUGGGAAUAUAUACUAAAGAUGCCGAGUCCCGGGCUUCCCCGAACUUGGCUCUCCAGGCUGCAAUCGAUGGAGGCCGGUCUUGCUUAUCUCCCCUCAUGGCCGAUCAAGGAGGCGAACAGUGUCAAUCUGUCAUCGACACCUCAGGGUCUAAAAAACAAGCACCGGGUCCUUCUCCUCCAUGAAUCAGAUGUCAACGAGGCAACACGAAUCUGCAUGAGGCUGAACAUGAAAGAAACAAAAUGGAGACAACUCGACGAGUUUAGGAACAACAUGUAA